Long non-coding RNA from Siniperca chuatsi (mandarin fish), 774 nucleotides. RefSeq lists it as uncharacterized. NCBI's taxonomy places the organism in Eukaryota, Metazoa, Chordata, Actinopteri, Centrarchiformes, Sinipercidae. The transcript is spliced from 6 exons. The record is from RefSeq and is a predicted model, not a curated record.
AGACUACGGAGACAGCCAUCUUUGGAGUCUUACUGCCCCCUGCUGGGAGACCCCGUGCAUCGUUAAGGAUUCCAACUGCCGUAAAACCUCGAAGAAGAACGAAGACACUUAACCUACGUCACAUCCGGAUAGAUAGUUCAGUUGAACGUACAGCAGACUGAAGACGUGCGUUUAACGUCCAGCAUUAAGAUGAAAAGGACUGCAGAGAUGAGGCCCGGGCCCUGCCCUGCUCAGACCUCCUGACUGACAUCUGGUGCUCAAGUAUGACUUAAGGAGUGGAAAACUCGGCGCUGCUGAUGAGUGCAGAAGUCGGUCGCAUCAAAGCUCUCGAGGGAGGUCAAGUGGCUUCACAGCUUCCAGCCGGCCUCAAUGAAAGGAGUUCACCAAGUAACCACGUGGGUCGACGUUGUGGCUCCUCAUUGAAACCAGAGUGAACUGCAAACUUGAGGGUUUCACCAAUAUGACGAGACUUUGAUGCAGGUGAAGAUCCCGAUUUCCCCAAAGUCAGUCGGAUGGCUCUUCGGAUUUCAUCAGGGAGUUGGAGAAUCUGCUGAGGAGAAAUAAGUCAUAUUUGGAUGUCUAACAUUUGGAUAAUUCCCAGUUUUCCCUGAUUUGCAAACUUGUACAUCUGCAGAAAAGUCCAAUUCUGUAAUAGGCAAGAGGAAAGAAUAUUUGUGUCCAGAGUUUUAAUAAUCGCAGUAAGAUUUCUGUUCAUGUUAAAAUCAUUUGAGUUUGACGAGAAACACUGUUAAAAUAAACAUCAUCCUAAACAUA